RNAcentral lists this unclassified non-coding RNA (388 nucleotides) under uncultured fungus. RNAcentral describes it as "sequence contains ITS1". The stretch from base 1 to 107 matches the Rfam family "5.8S ribosomal RNA", at positions 50 to 154 of the family's 154-position model. Lineage: Eukaryota; Fungi. The record is from RNAcentral.
GAAAUGCGAUACGUAAUGCGAAUUGCAGAACUCAGUGAAUCAUCAAAUCUUUGAACGCAAAUUGCACCGUCUAGUUUCCACUGGACGGUACACCUCUUUGAGGAUCGCUUAUACUUCAAAUCGAAUCUAUUAUUAUUGGAUUCGGAGAAUGAGCUUUCAACCUUGUUGCAAGGUCGUGGCUUGAAAGAGUAUCAUGCUGUUUGGGAACUGCUUGCCUGUUUUGUUUGUUCCCUGGGUUGAUUUCUUUCCGAGGUUGAUUUCUUUCCGAGAAAACAAAACACAGGUCAACGCAAAACACAACGGAACCCAAAAUACAAAAGCAGCAUGCAAACCAAUGAACAAAUUGAAAAUCGAUCUCAAAUGAAGUGAGAGGACCCCGUGAAUUUAA